RNAcentral lists this ribosomal RNA (492 nucleotides) under uncultured bacterium. RNAcentral describes it as "partial 16S ribosomal RNA". It matches the Rfam family "Bacterial small subunit ribosomal RNA", at positions 29 to 507 of the family's 1533-position model. The record is from RNAcentral.
AGUGAACGCUGGCGGUAGGCCUAACACAUGCAAGUCGAACGGCAGCACAGUAAGAGCUUGCUCUUACGGGUGGCGAGUGGCGGACGGGUGCUGAAUACAUCGGAAUCUACUUUUUCGUGGGGGAGAACGUAGGGAAACUUACGCUAAUACCGCAUACGACCUACGGGUGAAAGCAGGGGAUCUUCGGACCUUGCGCGAUUGAAUGAGCCGAUGUCGGAUUAGCUAGUUGGCGGGGUAAAGGCCCACCAAGGCGACGAUCCGUAGCUGGUCUGAGAGGAUGAUCAGCCACACUGGAACUGAGACACGGUCCAGACUCCUACGGGAGGCAGCAGUGGGGAAUAUUGGACAAUGGGCGCAAGCCUGAUCCAGCCAUACCGCGUGGGUGAAGAAGGCCUUCGGGUUGUAAAGCCCUUUUGUUGGGAAAGAAAAGCAGCAGGUUAAUACCCCGCUGUUCUGACGGUACCCAAAGAAUAAGCACCGGCUAACUUCGUG